GAUGAACGCUGGCGGCGUGCCUAAUACAUGCAAGUCGAGCGAACAGACGAGGAGCUUGCUCCUUCGACGUUAGCGGCGGACGGGUGAGUAACACGUAGGUAACCUACCUAUAAGACUGGGAUAACUUCGGGAAACCGGAGCUAAUACCGGAUAAUAUUUCGAACCGCAUGGUUCGAUAGUGAAAGAUGGCUUUGCUAUCACUCAUAGAUGGACCUGCGCCGUAUUAGCUAGUUGGUAAGGUAACGGCUUACCAAGGCAACGAUACGUAGCCGACCUGAGAGGGUGAUCGGCCACACUGGAACUGAGACACGGUCCAGACUCCUACGGGAGGCAGCAGUAGGGAAUCUUCCUCAAUGGGCGAAAGCCUGACGGAGCAACGCCGCGUGAGUGAUGAAGGUCUUCGGAUCGUAAAACUCUGUUAUUAGGGAAGAACAAACGUGUAAGUAACUGUGCACGUCUUGACGGUACCUAAUCAGAAAGCCACGGCUAACUACGUG
Molecule: ribosomal RNA, 497 nt
Filed under: uncultured bacterium
Lineage: Bacteria
Description: partial 16S ribosomal RNA
Rfam family: Bacterial small subunit ribosomal RNA
Source: RNAcentral